This 498-nucleotide ribosomal RNA is filed under the name uncultured bacterium. RNAcentral describes it as "partial 16S ribosomal RNA". It matches the Rfam family "Bacterial small subunit ribosomal RNA", at positions 30 to 523 of the family's 1533-position model. The record is from RNAcentral.
AUUGAACGCUGGCGGCAUGCCUUACACAUGCAAGUCGAACGGUAACAGGUCUUCGGAUGCUGACGAGUGGCGAACGGGUGAGUAACACGUCGGAACGUGCCUAGUAGUGGGGGAUAACUACUCGAAAGAGUGGCUAAUACCGCAUGAGAUCUACGGAUGAAAGCAGGGGAUCGCAAGACCUUGUGCUACUAGAGCGGCCGAUGGCAGAUUAGGGAGUUGGUGGGAUAAAAGCUUACCAAGCCGACGAUCUGUAGCUGGUCUGAGAGGACGAUCAGCCACACUGGGACUGAGACACGGCCCAGACUCCUACGGGAGGCAGCAGUGGGGAAUUUUGGACAAUGGGCGCAAGCCUGAUCCAGCAAUGCCGCGUGCAGGAUGAAGGCCUUCGGGUUGUAAACUGCUUUUGUACGGAACGAAAAGCCCUGGGUUAAUACCCUGGGGUCAUGACGGUACCGUAAGAAUAAGCACCGGCUAACUACGUGCCAGCAGCCGCGGUAA